Molecule: transfer RNA, 58 nt
Filed under: Nematostella vectensis (starlet sea anemone)
Lineage: Eukaryota; Metazoa; Cnidaria; Anthozoa; Actiniaria; Edwardsiidae
Rfam family: tRNA
About the family: Transfer RNA (tRNA) molecules are approximately 80 nucleotides in length.
Source: Rfam by way of RNAcentral
GGCGUAGUCGGUUAACGCGUUCGGCUGUUAAGCGAAAGUUUGAUGGUUCAAGCCCACC